Zeugodacus cucurbitae (melon fly) is the source of this 6007-nucleotide long non-coding RNA. RefSeq lists it as uncharacterized. The record is from RefSeq and is a predicted model, not a curated record. NCBI's taxonomy places the organism in Eukaryota, Metazoa, Arthropoda, Insecta, Diptera, Tephritidae. The transcript is spliced from 3 exons.
UUACUGGAGGUGAAGUGGUUGUCCUCAUCGGAUUCCGAUAUAUCAUAGUUGUUCCUGUAAUCGUAGCAUUAGUCGUCGAAUUAUUCAUUGUUGUUGUAUCUAGUUCAUUCAUGUUUUGGUCCCACGAUUAAGCUGGAGCCGGUAUGCGUAGAAAAGGAGUUUUAAUACCUCAGACCUCGCCCGGGCAUCGGAGGGGGCCGUUUGCGAUUAUUGAGCCAUAAGCACGGGAUCUCAACACCUUGGUGUUGGUGCGGGUGUCCUCACACUUCCACUAUAGGAGAUGGGCGUAAAACCAAGGGUCAUACCAUUACUAUAUUACCAUUGAGGGAAUAAUGAGUUGUGCCUCUUGCUACUUAAGAGAAGUGUAUGUUCUCAUUUGGGAUGCGCUCAUUACUAUUACUUAAAUCCCUUCGCGCGUUAAAGCGACCAACGUUGAAUAAUUCUAUGGAACUUAUAUUGAUAUUUGAAGAUAUGAGCUGGCUUGAUUAUUUCAAAGUGUAAUUCACGAAUCUUGGAAAAAAUAUAUCUAUUCUGAUUAUUUAUUGUAUAGCGAGAAUAAUUUCCUGAACAAAGUGAUUGUCAUAAGACCAUAUAUCAUUUUUUGAAUAUUUUAAUGUCAAUACUGUCAAUCUCAUUUCAUUUCCAUUUAACUUUUAAUCAUAAACCCUGCUGAAUUGCAUUUAGUAGGAAAAUACUAUAAAAAAUCAAAAUAUCUGUCAAAAUGACUGACUGAAGUGGGAGGUCUACCUGACAACCACAAGUGCCACAGGCGACAUAAACUAUUCAUGUUAUUGCGGAAGUUUUACGAUUUUCCAACGAAAAUCACACACGAAACGACAUCGUAAAAAGAGAAAAUAAAAAUUCGAAAGACAAUAUCAAAUACUCAUCAGCAUUUCAGUAUUCAGAGAUUCAAUUAUGAAUAUUUAAUUUCAUAAUCUAAUUAACAUAAGCGCGUAAACACCUGUAUAACUAUAAGGCAAUAAAAAUAUUCUUCACUUUCCUUGAGUUGCUUUUGGCCAACACAACGCAUACUUCCAGGCGUCUCAGGGGCGAAAACAUCAGCGCAUUAAUAUGGAACUCUGUGGCAUUUAGGUGUGCUGCUGAAGGGUUAUCGCUACAGCCAAAGUCAGCUAAUAUUUUCAUAUUUUCCAUACAAGUUUUAUUUUUAUUUUAUAUGUGGGUUUUUAUUAGGCUCCCCUAUCCACUACUUUUCUUCAUUUCCACACUCGAUUUCAAUGAGUUUGAGUAAAUAAAUAGUUGAAGAGAUCACUCAUCCAUUUUAAUGCCACAAGCACUUAUACAUUUAUUUAGAGAAGUCUAUAUGUAUGUGCUUAUAUAUGUAUACAGUGAAACUUCGAUAAGUCGUAACCUCGAUAAGCGAAAAACCUUGAUAUAUCAUAGUAUUUCUUCGGUCCCUAGAAAAAUUCGCGAAAAAUGCAUGUAUUUUGGUCCCUUUGAUAACUCGUAUUUUUAUUGAGACAAAAAUUGAAAAAUGUGUAUCAAAAGCCUCUACAAAUCGUAUUUUUUUCACAAAAAACCGUACGUGACGAAAACAUAGUACGUUUUUUAACCGUUAUUAUUUUACAGUUACGCUUAUUCAUAAGUUUUGCUUUGUUUUCUACAACUAGCGUAGAUUACUAUCAAUUAGGACUCGUAAGUGCAAAAUAUUGCCAAUUAAAAAAAAAAGAAAUUAUUCUUGCCGUAAAAAAUGGUGAAAAACAAGUAGAAAUUGCGAAAAGGUUCGGUAUUGCGCCAUCUACUAUCACAUCAAUUUUGAAAAAAAGUGAUCUGUAUUUGGGUUUGCCCUCAAACACCAAACGUAAGCGCCAAAAAUUACCAGAAUACCCGGAAUUAGAAAAGAGAGUACUCACUUGGUUUUUGCAAUGCCAAGAAUCUAAUACUAUUCCAGUUGGAGGACAUUUACUAAAAGAAAAAGCAAAGGUGUAUGCCGCAAAAUUGGGCUUAACACAAUUCAACGCAAGUAAUGGCUGGUUGGACAAUUUCAAGAAGAGAAAUAAUGUAAGUUUCAAAAAAGUUUGCGGUGAAAACGCGGCCGUUGAUGAUGAAGUGUGCGUUCAAUGGAGAGAAAACAUUCAAAAGUUAAUAGAGAAUUAUGAGCCCAAGAAUAUUUUCAACGCGGAUGAAACGGGUCUUUUUUACAAGUGUCUUCCAGAUCGCACUUUGUCUUUAAAAGGCCAAAGUUGUCAUGGUGGCAAAUUGAGCAAGGAUCGUCUUACUCUGUUGCUUGCUGCAAAUAUGGAUGGGUCAGAAAAAUUUAAACCAUUAAUGAUUGGUAAAUCCAUGAAACCAAGAUGCUUUAAAAAUAUCAAAACGUUCCCUAUGCUUUAUCGUGCAAAUUCAAAGUCAUGGAUGACACGUAAUUUAUUUCUUGAAUGGCUACAAUUGGUGAACCUUUGAGCAAUGUGCAGACAGAAUUUCUCCCACCUAACACCACUUCAGUUUUGCAACCACUCGACAAAGGCAUAAUCAAAAGUUUCAAAACAUUGUACCGUAAAGAAGUUGUUGUUAAACUGCUUGAAAGCAUCGAGGAAAAAAAGGAUUAUUCCAUUUCAAUUUAUGAUGCAAUGAAUAUUACUCAUAAAGCCUGGACAAAUAUCAGUAAAUCGACUAUUAAAAACUGUUUUCGAGCUUGCGGUUUUGUUAAGGAUCAAAAUGUAGUCGUAUUCAGGGAAGAUGUACUUCACAUAGCAGAGUGGGCUCGUGUUCCACAAAAUGCAGAAACACGUGUAAACUUUGAUGACUACAUUCAUUCAUUCACCAACUCAUCAGGUGAUUACUGGAAGCCUUAAUGAUGAUGAAAUUCUGGGUUUCGAAAACAUCGACGAUAAAAACGAUGAAACAUUUGAAAUUCCCUCACUUUCCACAAAGGUUGCGAAAGCUUCAAUUGAAAAUUUGUGUCUUUUUUCAUGGCAUCAAAUAUUGAAGACAGUAUUUUUAAUGAUAUUGUAAACAUUGAUAAUGCCAUAGAUAAAAUACGCCAAAAUAAUGUCCGUCAAAAACAUAUCACGGAUUUCUUUUAAAAUGAACACUUUUCUUAAUUUUUUUGCACAAUUUUUCAAAAUACAUACAUACAUAUAUUGAUUGAAUAACAUUUGCACUUUAUAUUUUAAAAUUUAAAUAUGUACAAUCAUUUCUUGUUUUUUAUGUAAAAUUGAAAAAAUAAAUAAAAAAAAACUCUAUAAUUCGUAUAUUCUGUAUGUUGCCUCUAUAAGUUGUAUAACUUGAUAACUUGAAAAACUCCAUAACUCGUAUUUAAAUUGUGGUCCCUUGCAAAUACGAGUUAUCGAAGUUUCACUGUAUAUAUCUGGUAGCACAGUAGCGCGCAUUCGCCGCUUAGUCCAGCUGUUCAAUGCAGAUCGAAAGCAAAUCAAAUCGAUUUCAAUCAAAUCAAAUUGAAGCUGAAUAGGCGAAUUAGUAAACAAUGCGUAUAUGAACUAUGCGAGUGCAAAUACAGCUAUUGGUCAGCAUAAUGCUUCGACUAUUAUAUGCUAUUAACACUAGCAGUCCCAGCGACUCAUCGCCGCAUGGAUCAUUCAUCGAUCGUUUGAUUGUCAGAACGGCGAAUUGUGCUUGUGCACAUACAUUAGUAUAUAUAUGUGUGAAUAUUAUAUAUUUGUAGUUGUUGUGGCUUAGCGGCCGUUAACUCAGCUAAGGGUCACAUGGAGUAGAAGUCAAAACAAUAAAGGGGCGCCAAGAAGGGACUCACUGUUGGGGCACGGUGACGUGAGGCAAAUACAUAAUGUACCAUAUUGUAUAAAAUAUUCAAAAUAAAUAAAAGAAAGUAUUAUAUAAAUAUAAGAAAAUCAAAUUGAAAAAUGUAUACAAUUCAUUUUAUGUAUAUCCUUUUCCAUUAUGUUCGCUUUUACUCGCAGUAUAUUGUUGCUUGCUGGAAAUUUUUACGGAACACCUUGGAACACUUUUGCACAUUUGGGAAGUUUAACUCCACUUAAAUGCAUUCUUAAAUAUCGAAAAGUUCUUACAGACCUUGAGUUGCCAUAAGCCAUAUGCUUUCUUCUCAUUGUUAUUCCUACCAUCUUGAACGGCGCUCAAGUUGUUUCGAAGUCCUUAUAAAUUCUAGAUCUGUAGGUUUUCAGAGCGAAUCUGCUUCCUAGUUAAAGCCUUAUUUAGAAUCAAGAUUAAUUAAAAGUAGCAUCAUGUACAUAGGUUCGAUGACACACACCCCUUUCGUAUUAACCUGUCAACAGUGCACGGAAGUACCACAACAAUAAACUGCAGCACUAGAACUCUCUUCAAAAUGUUAUUAACCAACCAUGUAGCGAGUAGCACUCAAAGGGUUGCCAAUAGCCACCCCCAAAGUGUGGCUGCGCUUCAAAAACAUGAGUGUUUACAGAUUUAUGACUUCAACUUCAUGUUACCAAAACGGAGUAAUAACAAUAAAGCCCGCGCCCAUGUGGUAUGCAACACUUGCAGCACCUAGUGCAGCCGAAGUGUAAAGAUAGCCAUAAUUGUGUUUUGCAUUCUGCGCUACAAAAAUAAUUUGAUAUAAAAAGUGCAGACGAGGUUACUCGGCACGUACCACUCAAAUGGAAAAUGCUCACUCUCUUUCCAUCGUUAGGCAUUCCAACACAUCACAAUAUCGCCGUCAAGAUCGCUUAAAGACACUGCAACUACAUUCGAAUACUGCACCGACGAGCAUUUAGCUUGUCCACUUGCAACAAAGUCACAACUUCUCUUCUUACCGCAGCCCACUGCAAGAACAUCCAACGAUCGUCCACACGGCCACAGAAUGUCGAGUGGCAGACAGUAGCGAGUGAAUAUGAUGUGAACACCCUCGACUCCUCGCAUAUUCUACUUAAGUGCAUAUGGAAGUGUAAGUAUCUGCUCUCACUCUUAAUGUACUCCCUCGCAGCCAAAUGUGCAAUUUCCCUGACUGUUUUUCCAAUUUUACGACGUAGCCUGGUCGCCAGCUACAUUUUCCUCCUUCACAGGCCGAUCGUCUCUGGUUCCCAACUGUCAUAGUCCAUGUGCUUGGCUGUCUUCAUUGCCACACGAUCAUGGCCAUGCGGUCCUAUGCACAGCAGUUGGCCACUUCACUUUGCGUUUUUUUAUUCUUUUUCUUUGAGUGUGUGCUCGUAUUGCCUUUGUUGUUGUCGUUCUUGAAACAAAAGCAAUUUCGUAUAUGCAUUCUUCUAGUUGUUGCGAAUUUGCGAUUCCCUGAAACACAUUAGCAGAGAGAUUCCUCAUGCCUCCGCACAUAUGGUAUGUUUGUGGUAUUAUUUUCUGCUCCUCCACAGUCAAUAACUGUGAACUGCCGUUUUGGCUAAUAAAGUUUAACAAGACUGGAAUGUAAACAAUGACUUUCUCCGUAAUACCUUAAGUCUUCUGAAGGAAAAUUAAAAUUAUUUGUAGUAUCUACUCGAUGUCAUAUCUUAAGCGAAUUUAGUUGAAUGCUGUGUUUUGAAGUAUUUGUGUGAGUGAAGUCACAUUUUCCGAAUGCUGUUAACAUCACCUCAAAGUCAUAUUUAUAAAUGCAGUAUUAGUCUCAGCUGCAAACAAACUUACAUACAAAUAUGAAGCCCCAUUAAAAAGUGGGUGCUUAGCAUAUUUUCUACUCCGAAAUACCUCCUCAAGUUCCAAAUUUUCAACUUUGUUGUAAUAACAUGAUUAAGGGAGACAUGAUUCAUUUUAGGAGCGCAUGCUAAAACUACCUUAUUGGAUCUAUAAAGUAACACUACUUAGGAAGGUAUAAAGGACCUCAGAAAUGCUUAAAAAACUAAAACUAAUAAAACAAGUAAGGAAGGGCUAAGUUCGGGUGUAACCGAACAUUUUAUACUCUCGCAAUUUAUUUAUUUAACUUUAUUUAUAUUAUAUAAUACACAAUUUGACCCACAUAUUCGUCAUAUAUAUUGUAUAAAGUCCAUUGAAAGUUGGAAACCAUAAUAUUAGAUUAGAAGCACCGAGGUCCUCGGGUUCGAUAUAUGGGGCCUUAAAAACCUAUGGUCCGAUUUCGGCGAUUUUUAGAAUG